This 406-nucleotide ribosomal RNA is filed under the name uncultured Megasphaera sp. Its description in RNAcentral is "bacterial SSU rRNA". It matches the Rfam family "Bacterial small subunit ribosomal RNA", at positions 145 to 525 of the family's 1533-position model. Lineage: Bacteria; Bacillati; Bacillota; Negativicutes; Veillonellales; Veillonellaceae. The record is from RNAcentral.
UACAGCCGAAACGGCUGCUAAUACCGAAUACGAUCUUUUCGUUCGCAUGACGGAAAAGAGAAAAGGAAUGGCCUCUAUACAAAGCUAUCGCCGAAGAGGGGUUUUGCGUCUGAUUAGCUGGUUGGAGGGGUAACGGCCCAACAAGGCGAUGAUCAGUAGCCGGUCUGAGAGGAUGAACGGCCACAUUGGGACUGAGACACGGCCCAGACUCCUACGGGAGGCAGCAGUGGGGAAUCUUCCGCAAUGGACGAAAGUCUGACGGAGCAACGCCGCGUGAGUGAAGAAGGUCUUCGGAUUGUAAAGCUCUGUUAUACGGGACGAAAAAGACGGAUGCCAACAGUAUCCGUCCGUGACGGUACCGUAAGAGAAAGCCACGGCUAACUACGUGCCAGCAGCCGCGGUAAAU